CGUACACCGAAAGGACUUUGCCCCCAAACAAGUAUUCAAUGGUGUGUGGAGUACACUUCCCUGACGGCAGACCAACGCAGGAACACCCAUAUCCCAUAAUAUGGGAUAUGAAUAUAGUAAAGCACCAUCAUGUGGAAGACCACCCACAAAGUGGAGAUGUCUCCAGCCCCCAACAGAGAGACCAUGUGAUGAGCCUCCUGUGACAAAUUCUGAUACCGAAGUAGGGCAUAGCUUGGAGGAUAGUCUGUCUCCACACCAAUGUGAUGUUGGCACUCAGUGGCCAGAGCGUAGUGAUCAUGAUUAUUGUUCGAUGAAGUCAACAAAAGAUGCAAGCACACAAACAGAUCCUACACCAUCACUGUCAGCUCAUGACAUGGAUGAUAAAGUGUCAAAAUUUUACAUUGGACUAGACAUCAUCAGCUUUUGGCAACUUUUGAACACCAUCAU
Molecule: long non-coding RNA, 447 nt
Organism: Engraulis encrasicolus (European anchovy)
Lineage: Eukaryota; Metazoa; Chordata; Actinopteri; Clupeiformes; Engraulidae
Exons: 3
Source: RefSeq, a predicted model, not a curated record